Molecule: non-coding RNA, 22 nt
Filed under: Rattus norvegicus (Norway rat)
Lineage: Eukaryota; Metazoa; Chordata; Mammalia; Rodentia; Muridae
Source: RNAcentral
UGGCUGCUGACAAUCCACCUGU